CCUACGGGUGACAGCAGUGGGGAAUAUUGGGCAAUGGGCGCAAGCCUGACCCAGCAACGCCGCGUGAAGGAAGAAGGCUUUCGGGUUGUAAACUUCUUUUCUCAGGGACGAAGAAAGUGACGGUACCGGAGGAAUAAGCCACGGCUAACUACGUGCCAGCAGCCGCGGUAAUACGUAGGUGGCAAGCGUUAGCCGGAUUUAUUGGGUGUAAAGGGCGUGUAGGCGGGAGCGCAAGUCAGAUGUGAAAACUCAGGGCUCAACCCUGAGCCUGCAUUUGAAACUGUGUUUCUUGCGUGCUGGGGAGGCAAUCGGAAUUCCGUGUGUAGCGGUGAAAUGCGUAGAUAUACGGAGGAACACCAGUGGCGAAGGCGGAUUGCUGGACAGUAACUGACGCUGAGGCGCGAAAGCGUGGGGAGCAAACAGGAUUAGAUACCCGUGUAGUC
Molecule: ribosomal RNA, 443 nt
Filed under: uncultured bacterium
Lineage: Bacteria
Description: partial 16S ribosomal RNA
Rfam family: Bacterial small subunit ribosomal RNA
Source: RNAcentral